This 207-nucleotide ribosomal RNA is filed under the name uncultured bacterium. RNAcentral's name for it is "partial 16S ribosomal RNA". It matches the Rfam family "Bacterial small subunit ribosomal RNA", at positions 568 to 774 of the family's 1533-position model. The record is from RNAcentral.
CAUGCAGGCGGUCGGACGCGUUUUGUGUGACAGCGGGUGGCUUAACUACCCGAGUAUGCGAAAGACGGUUUGACUUGAGGGCUCGAGAGGGACACGGAAUUCCGGGUGGAGUGGUGAAAUGCGUAGAGAUCCGGAGGAACACCGAAGGCGAAGGCAGUGUCCUGGCGAGUGAUUGACGCUGAGGUGCGAAAGCUAGGGGAGCGAACG